RNAcentral lists this ribosomal RNA (217 nucleotides) under uncultured bacterium. RNAcentral describes it as "partial 16S ribosomal RNA". It matches the Rfam family "Bacterial small subunit ribosomal RNA", at positions 57 to 305 of the family's 1533-position model. The record is from RNAcentral.
GCAAGUCGAGCGCGCCUUCGGGCGAGCGGCGGACGGGUUAGUAACGCGUGGGAACGUGCCCAGAUCUACGGAAUAGCCACUGGAAACGGUGAGUAAUACCGUAUACGCCCUUUGGGGAAAGAUUUAUCGGAUUUGGAUCGGCCCGCGUUAGAUUAGGUAGUUGGUAGGGUAACGGCCUACCAAGCCUACGAUCUAUAGCUGGUUUUAGAGGAUGAUC